This 307-nucleotide unclassified non-coding RNA is filed under the name Hevea brasiliensis (rubber tree). The record is from RNAcentral. Lineage: Eukaryota; Viridiplantae; Streptophyta; Magnoliopsida; Malpighiales; Euphorbiaceae.
AUAUCUCUUAUGGUAGUGGUGAGAAUAUUGUUCAGGCUGAUUCUGUGGCAAAAUUACGUUAUGAUUCAUAUGAUAUGGUUAAUAUUUUGGCACACACCACUGAUGUCCCUGUAUCUUCAGAACAGCUUAACUAUAUAAGAAAGUUAAUGAAGAAACGCAAGGAACAAAAUGAAGUGAGCAGAGCAGCACCAAAUGAUGGGCAAAAUGUGGAAGAAGUAGGCUUACAUGAUAUGAUCACAGAAGAAAUGUGCUUACACAAGAAGGUUGCUAGAGUAUCUUGGUUUUCUGCUGCCAGUCACAAAGCACA